RNAcentral lists this long non-coding RNA (1417 nucleotides) under Fukomys damarensis (Damara mole-rat). RNAcentral describes it as "lncRNA (ENSFDAG00000024011.1)". Lineage: Eukaryota; Metazoa; Chordata; Mammalia; Rodentia; Bathyergidae. The record is from RNAcentral.
CGAUCUCGAUGCUGCGUCACACUGGGCAGCCGGGCCGCCACUGUUGGGCAACGGGGCCGCCCCUGCGCUGGCCAGCUCCGGAGCCGAAGCGGAGGAAUCCGAGCUCAGCGUGUGGACGUCCGGUGACGCAGCUGGAUCGCAUCUGUGGGUGACCGGAGCCCUGUUCAGAAAAGAACUUUCACCAUUUGCGUUCUUGAUGCUGCGUCACACUGGGCAGCCGGGCCGCCACUGUUGGGCAACUCGGCCGCCCCUGCGCUGGCCAGCUCCGGAGCCGAAGCGGAGGAAUCCGAGCUCAGCGUGUGGACGUCCGGUGACGCAGCUGGAUCGCAUCUGUGGGUGACCGGAGCCCUGUUCAGAAAAGAACUUUCACCAUCUUUGCUUUCUAGGUCCCUCCCUGGAGGGCGGAUUAAAGGGUGCCUGGACAAAUCGCAAAAGAACAAAAGCUCUCCAGGGAUGCUGAUAUUAAAUAGUUCUAAUGCUGAGUUGCAAGGAAUAACAAGAUCAUGCAGGGCCUGAGAUGUAGCUCAGCCAAGCAGCGCUGGCCUGGCAAGCGCGAGGUCCCGAGUUCGACUUUUGGUACCAAAAAAUAAAAAAAAAGAUCUUAGAGUAUGGCCUCAAGGUGUGAAUACCGAGUGGUUUUUCUGGUGUAAAAACUGAAAGUGUAAGUAAGGACCAAAAUGUAAAAUAAAUAUUGUGAAAUAGGAAGAAAAUGUUCAAAGGGGAAGGAGAAGAGGGGGAGAAAAAAUUGCAAUAAAGAAGGAAAAAACGGAAGCAAAGUUUUUCGUAAAUAAGGAGGAAUGGAGUGGUUAAAAGGAGGGAAGGAGGGGAGGAAGGGAGAAAAAUAAGCACCAAGAUAUAUCAUGUACAGGUACAAAUUUCCAGUGAUGAAUGUGAUCAUAAUGUGUAGCUAAAAUGUUCCAAUAAACAAUAAGAAAACAAAGAUCAUGGUAGAUCUACAUUUCUGAAGUCCCUAAAUUUCCACAAACUAAGUGCCAACCUUUAACAUUUAGCUUUAUAUUAAUGUUAUAAAAUAAUAGGACUUUUCCGGACCUUUAUUUUUGUUACCAGUUUGAUAAAUAAAAAAUUAGAAUUACAGAAAUACUAACCAUACAGAUAAAUCAUCUUAUAAUCAGAAGUAUUCAGUUAAUAUCCUCAAUUAAAACGACAUUAUGUCAUCUUAAAAAAGUUAUUGUAGAAGUCUAUUUUACGUAUUUUCAGAAAGUGUAUGUCAUACCUUUUAAAAAUAUUACCUGUUCCUUUGAUAUGCUUGUCUACAUGUAAGGGCUCUAAUUUUAAACUUUUUUCAGAAACAUAUCUUGCCAAAUUUACAAAAUGCUGAACCUUGGAAUGUUAUGUUUCAGGUAAAGUAAUAACAUUGCUUUGAAAAAUUUUAGAAUGACUGUUAAGAAUAUGGAGA